CAAUGCUACUGGGACGCAGAGGUGAAGAGGUGCCACCACCGUCAAGAGGCCUUGGAGAAAGACCAUGGCACGUUAAAGAUAGUGUAGCUGAGGUUCAGGGAAGUAAAACAUCAAGGUCUGAUGACAACCAAGUAUUUCCGAAGUCCAAAAGACCGUACAAGGUCCAAAUUCCGCAGCCCAGAAUGACAAGUCCUCCAUAAUUCUAUCCCGCUCUAUCGAGGCAUCAGAAUUUCGUGAAUAUUCAGCCACUAACUGGCAAAGUUCAGCCUGGAUGUUCAGCCAUUAACUGCUGUGUAAUUAUGGACCAGUUACAGUUUUCUCUGGGCUUUGAUUUUUCUCAUUUGCAGCACUCAGUUGAUUUCAAAAUUAAA
Molecule: long non-coding RNA, 371 nt
Organism: Gorilla gorilla gorilla (western lowland gorilla)
Lineage: Eukaryota; Metazoa; Chordata; Mammalia; Primates; Hominidae
Exons: 3
Source: RefSeq, a predicted model, not a curated record